AUUAAACGCUGGCGGCAUGCCUUACACAUGCAAGUCGAACGGCAGCACGGGGGCAACCCUGGUGGCGAGUGGCGGACGGGUGAGUAAAGCAUCGGAACGUAUCCUGGAGUGGGGGGAUAACGUAGCGAAAGUUACGCUAAUACCGCAUAUUCUGUGAGCAGGAAAGCAGGGGAUCGCAAGACCUUGCGCUCUGGGAGCGGCCGAUGUCGGAUUAGCUAGUUGGUGGGGUAAAGGCCUACCAAGGCGACGAUCCGUAGCGGGUCUGAGAGGAUGAUCCGCCACACUGGGACUGAGACACGGCCCAGACUCCUACGGGAGGCAGCAGUGGGAAUUUUGGACAAUGGGCGGAAGCCUGAUCCAGCCAUGCCGCGUGAGUGAAGAAGGCCUCGGG
RNAcentral lists this ribosomal RNA (391 nucleotides) under uncultured bacterium. RNAcentral describes it as "bacterial SSU rRNA". It matches the Rfam family "Bacterial small subunit ribosomal RNA", at positions 29 to 421 of the family's 1533-position model. The record is from RNAcentral.